CAUGAUCUCAUAACAAACAGUAUGUGAAUAAAUUGUUUAAAUCACAUUUCUAAGCCUUUGUUAUGAGUGUAAUACACCAGUCCAGUAGAAACUUUACAACUACUAUCACAGUGUGUGUAACCCAGAAUAAAAGGGUUGAAAGAAUCAAGUGUGGCUAAUGCUAUGAAACUAACUACUCAUCAAUGGAUAGUGUAAAAAAAUAAGUGAGAGCUGACUCUCCAUGCCGAUACGGGAAGACUGAUAAAAAAUCUCUUGGACCUGAAAACAGUAGAGCAGAGCAGUAGAGAUGUUAUAAAAACAUCCAACCUUUGGUUACAAUUCAUCUUCGAACAUGUUUACCCCCUACGAACGUGUCAUCUAACCUUUCGUUAAAAAUGUCACAUUUCAAGAUGUUAAACAAAGGACAUAUGCAGCUUCCCACAAACAACUUCUUUUAUAUGCAUAAUCUAGAAGAAAAAGCAAUAUCUUUGUUAAUUUAUAAUUCGUUUCAGUGUAAUUCUAACUAAUGACUUUAUACUUUCACUUACAAGAUAAACAAAUAAAUCUCACCAAAUAUGCACAUGUAAAAUAAAUUCCAUGAAGAAGAUUGUACCUCAAGAUAAAAUGACAAACCCUAAAUACACCGAUGCAGAAAGAAAUAUAAACGAUACCAAUCCCUUGCAUAUAAAGAUUAUUAUGUUACGAAAAAUGUCAAGUUUUAAUCAUCAGUACAAUUACGUUUUUUACCAUUACAUCUAAAAAUCCAAUGUCCAUUUUAACUAAAAUUGUUGACUUAUAUUCAAAAGGUUGUUGACCUGUUUGGGAACAUUAUUCAUUUACGAAAAAUCGGAACUUUAUAGGGCUGGUUUGAAAGUUUAUUCUUUAAAUAACUGAAAUUGUUUUAUGAGAAAAUGUUUUUUGUUCCAAAAGUACUUGAACUGUUUUAUUUAAAAAACACCAGUUAUGUGCUUCUUGUAAAAAGCAUUUAAGUUUUUUUUUUCAAGAUUCACUUAUAUUUUUACUACAGAUUGGUUCCAAAAACGCUUUUGAUCAAUCUGUGAGUUGCAAAAUUAGUAGAAAUCAAUUUUAACAUCGUCAAUAGCAGGAAUCAAAGGAGAGGAAUCCGCCCUUAAGCAACCAAUUGCCUGGACCAACUUGAUACAACUUGGUCCUCUCGCUCCUAAGACCAUCUUCAAAGGAGAUGUCAAAGUUUGAACAUAAAAUUUAAAUUUUGACAGCUUAUGUGGCACUUUGACAAUUUUUAAAGUUUUGUUCUUCAACCGAUAUGUUAAAUUAAAUUAUUAUUUUAUAAAAUAAAUUAUUAAACUAAUUAAAAUUUAAUAAAGGACAUUUAAAGUUUAAUCAGUAAUCUGUUCACCUUUUUUUAUUGAAAAGAAGAAAAAAGUAAGAUAAUUGCAUCGGUCAACUCAACAUUAAUUAUAAUAAAUGAUUAAACUAAUUAAAAAUUAAUAAAAUAGAUUUAAUAAUUAAUAAAAAAACAUUUGAAGCUGCUGUCAAAUUUGACAACAACCUCUUUUGCUGCCAAUCCAUGUCAUCGCCACACAGGAUUUGAUACUUUGGCUGGAGAAUAUUAGUGUGGUCUUUUUUUUUACUAUUAUAACUGAUGUGUACAUUUUGGCAUCUUCUUUAG
RNAcentral lists this long non-coding RNA (1630 nucleotides) under Malus domestica (apple). RNAcentral describes it as "long non-coding RNA (MDOM_LNC017749)". Lineage: Eukaryota; Viridiplantae; Streptophyta; Magnoliopsida; Rosales; Rosaceae. The record is from RNAcentral.